CCUACGGGUGGCAGCAGUGAGGAAUAUUGGUCAAUGGACGCGAGCCUGAACCAGCCAAGUAGCGUGAAGGAUGACUGCCCUACGGGUUGUAAACUUCUUUUAUAAAGGAAUAAAGUGAAGCACGUGUACCUUUUUGUAUGUACUUUAUGAAUAAGGAUCGGCUAACUCCGUGCAAGCAGCCGCGGUAAUACGGAGGAUCCAAGCGUUAUCCGGAUUUAAUUGGUUUAAAGGGAGCGUAGAUGGGUUGUUAAGUCAGUUGUGAAAGGUUGCGGCUCAACCGUAAAAUUGCAAUUGAUACUGGCAGCCUUGAGUACAGUUGAGGUAGGCGGAAUGCGUGGUGUAGCGGUGAAAUGCUUAGAGAUCACGCAGAACUCCGAUUGCGAAGGCAGCUUACUAAACUGCAUCUGACAUUGAUGCUCGAAAGUGUGGGUAUCAAACAGGAUUAGAUACCCCGGUAGUC
This 460-nucleotide ribosomal RNA is filed under the name uncultured bacterium. RNAcentral describes it as "partial 16S ribosomal RNA". It matches the Rfam family "Bacterial small subunit ribosomal RNA", at positions 338 to 795 of the family's 1533-position model. The record is from RNAcentral.